AAACUAUUGUUCCUGUUUCACACAGAAGAAAACUGAGGUUGGCACUCAUCAUGAGCCCCUGUUCUCAUUCUGCAAAUGGUGAAGCUCUCUAUUGUCCUGACCCCACAGUUCCUGUCCCAUGACCAGGGCCAGCUCACCAAGGAGCUGCAGCAGCAUGUAAAGUCAGUGACAUGCCCAUGCGAGUACCUGAGGAAGACGAUCCUACACCUGCCACCUCCGAUGGAUCCACUGCCUCUGUGCCUGCCUGUACUGCUGAUGCUCCAGUGGAUAACUCAGCAUCCCAGCCUAGGCCCAAUGCCACUGAAGAUGGACCUGCCCCCUGGGGACCCAGGAGUCCUACCACUCAGCUGUCCCCAGGAGUGCCCAGACCCUCAUUCUUAUCCAGGACCUAGGAGCCCUACCCCUGGCCUUCCCUCAUCAGCCGUAAAUGAUGAUUUACUGCUGUUACCAUCAUCACUGCCUUCAGUGACCAAGGGCCUUCCAAGGUGCCAGCUCUGGAACGAAGGAUGCCCUUGGGAGGUGAUGACACUCAGGUUGAUGGACGGAUGGCUACAUGGAUGUGAUGGAGAUGGUUUACUAUCGGGACCUUCCGCACCCUGCUGAUGUUUUGUUGCUUAGGAUAUGAAUGGCU
This 631-nucleotide long non-coding RNA is filed under the name Homo sapiens (human). Its description in RNAcentral is "non-protein coding lnc-NPIPB3-2:9". The record is from RNAcentral. Lineage: Eukaryota; Metazoa; Chordata; Mammalia; Primates; Hominidae.